RNAcentral lists this long non-coding RNA (2812 nucleotides) under Brassica napus (rape). RNAcentral's name for it is "long non-coding RNA (BNAP_LNC004267)". Lineage: Eukaryota; Viridiplantae; Streptophyta; Magnoliopsida; Brassicales; Brassicaceae. The record is from RNAcentral.
CAAAGGUUGUUGAUGGGAAGCAUCUGCAGUGUAAGUUGGCUAUAGAUGGGAAGAAAGGAAAGCCGCCUGGGCAAGACGGUGGUGCUGGGCCUGGAGGACAUGGUCAAGGUGAUGGAAUGGGGAUGGUGCCUCCUCCUGGGCCUUAUGCUGGUGCUCACGGUGGACCUGGUGGGAUGGGUCCUUACGGUGGGUACUCGGGAGGACCACCGCCGCAUCAUAUGAAUUCCACACCAUCUUCUAUGGGUGGUGCUGCUGCUCCUGCUGGAGGAGGUGGUUAUGGAGGUGCGUAUGCUGGUCAUUAUGGUGGAUACGGUGGUGCAGGAUCUGGGGGUUAUGGAUCAAUGAGUGGUGCCGGUGGGGGUUAUGGUGGGCCUGGUGGUGGAAGUGGUCCGUAUAGAAUGCCGCCGAGUUCGAUGUCCGGUGGUGGUUAUCAAGAGAGUGGGCAUUAUGGGCAUUCGUCAGCUUCAGCAUAUCCUGGACAGCAUCCGCCUGUUGGUUCCUCCACAGUGCCGAGAAUUCCUCUUGGAGGAAUGUACCCCAACGGUCCACCAAAUUACUGAAUGGUGAGAUGGUUUUUCUUGAAAUUGAGUUAUUCUUUAUGCUUGACCUCUUUCUUGCUAGUUGUUGAGCUUUUUGUGCAUGAGGCUUGAUCUUGCUGGUUGUAGAGCUUUUUGUGCAUGAUCAUGGUCUUGCAUUUUUACGUAUUCUUCACUGUAUUUUUUUUACUGCUGCUGUACUUAGGUUUGUUUGCUAUGUGUCCACUUGGGGCUAUUUGCUUCAGUGAUAUUUUCUACUUGAUGUAAUGCCUUAGUAAUCUUUUGGUUAAUUGUUGGGUAAACCUAAAACUAUAAUUAUUUUAGGCGUUAGUAUUAUUUUCAAUCAUAAAUCUGUUACUCUGUCUGCAACCAUCAUUAUCAUCAUUUGCUUCUUUCUGCAACAAAGUGUUGUUUCUCAUAUUUGCUCUAUACGCUGAUUGUAAAGUCUUCUUUUCUGCUUGAAGUAUUAAUCUUCCGUUUGAAGUGACUUGUUUGUUAAUGCUAAUGACCAUAUUGAGUUGUGAAUGAAUGAUUCAGGUUUGUGACAGGGCAACAUAAUAAUUUUCACAAAGAAUAUUUAAAAAAUAUAUUUAUGUUAUGUAGUCUUAUUUUAUAUUUUUUAAAUAAUGUAAUACAAUAUUAUACAUUAUUUUUUUAGAAUUGAGAAAUACAUAUAAUAUCUUAUCCGCGCGUAGCGCGGUUAAAAAAUCUAGUUCUGGUAAAGUUAUUAAUUAAAAAUCUGUCGGGUCUGAAUCUAAUUAAAACUUACACUAAAAUUUAUUUGUUUAAGUCGCCAGAGUAAACGACCAACAGCAGCGAUAGUCGAUAGCGAUUACUAUACCGCUAUUUUUCAUAGCUGCCACUGAAUGUAUCAAUGAUUAAAAUUUAAUCGGCAGUCAUCGAUCAUUACGAUAGCUAAAUGAACAAUAUUUGACUACUAUCACUAUCGAUUAUCAGACGAACAGCGUAUAAACUCAGCAGUUGCUUGGCUUCAUCUGACGGCAAGAGUGCGGGAGAAACAGACAAUGGUAAAGGAGACUAGGCCUUCUCUUACACCUUAAUUACAGUUUUAUUGGGCUGGGCCUCAUAAACCAGCUCGAAAAGCCCAACACAGGAUUAUAAAAAUAAACAACAGACCUUCCCUCUUGCUGUAACUUGUAACCCUUUGUCGUCUGGAUUAGGGUUAAGGAUAUUAGGCGAAAGGUAUCUUCUCCUCAUCUUCUACACACAAACCCCUCGAUCAUGGAUAUGUUGAAGAAGCGACGUCUCGACGAGAACGGCAUCGGGCUCCUCAACGACGGACACGUCACCACAAUCUCGACUCGAUUAACCCCACACGACGCGAGGAAGAUCAUCGACCGAUUCUCCAACGAUCAGCUUCUCGACAUCUUACAAGAGGCCGUCGCUCGGCACCCCGACGUUCUCGAGCUCGUUAGAUCAACCGCCGACUCCGACAUCUCUCAGAGGAAGCUAUUCAUCCGCGGCCUCGCGGCGGAGACCACGACGGAAGGUCUCCGAUCGCUUUUCUCCACGUACGGAGAUCUUGAGGAGGCGAUCGUGAUUCUCGAUAAAGUUACGGCGAAAUCGAAAGGGUACGGGUUCGUGACGUUCAAGCACGUGGACGGAGCUCUCCUCGCUUUGAAGGAUCCGUCCAAGAAGAUCGACGGGCGCGUGACGGUCACGCAGCUCGCGGCGGCGGGGAAUCAAGGGACGACGGCGCAUGUUUCGGAUAUAUCGACGAGGAAGAUAUAUGUGGCGAAUGUGCCGUUUGAAAUGCCUGCGGAUAGGUUGUUGAAUCAGUUUCUUGCUUAUGGAGAUAUCGAAGAAGGGCCUUUGGGUUUUGAUAAAGUUACUGGGAAGUCACGGGGGUUUGCUUUGUUUGUGUAUAAGACUUCUGAAGGUGCUCAGGCUGCGCUUGCUGAUCCUACAAAGGUUGUUGAUGGGAAGCAUCUGCAGUGUAAGUUGGCUAUAGAUGGGAAGAAAGGAAAGCCGCCUGGGCAAGACGGUGGUGCUGGGCCUGGAGGACAUGGUCAAGGUGAUGGAAUGGGGAUGGUGCCUCCUCCUGGGCCUUAUGCUGGUGCUCACGGUGGACCUGGUGGGAUGGGUCCUUACGGUGGGUACUCGGGAGGACCACCGCCGCAUCAUAUGAAUUCCACACCAUCUUCUAUGGGUGGUGCUGCUGCUCCUGCUGGAGGAGGUGGUUAUGGAGGUGCGUAUGCUGGUCAUUAUGGUGGAUACGGUGGUGCAGGAUCUGGGGGUUAUGGAUCAAUGAGUGG